UUCUAUUUAAUUUUUCUAGACACUCUGAAAAAAAUGAAAAAACAAAAGCCUCUAAAUAAAAAAAAUGUCGGGCGCAAAAAUGUCCGAAAAAAUAAAUUGACCAUACCAAAAUGAUCAGCGUGAAAUAAACUUCUCGAAAAUAUACAAUGUUUGAUUGAAAUAAGUUUUUACCGGUUAACAGGCCCAGACUGAUCAAAAU
Molecule: long non-coding RNA, 199 nt
Filed under: Lathyrus oleraceus (garden pea)
Lineage: Eukaryota; Viridiplantae; Streptophyta; Magnoliopsida; Fabales; Fabaceae
Description: Pisum sativum (pea) long non-coding RNA (PSAT_LNC026080)
Source: RNAcentral